GAGUCGUAACAAGGUUUCCGUAGGUGAACCUGCGGAAGGAUCAUUAACACGUAGCCAAACGUUAAACAACCCCGUGAACAUACAACCUGCUCUGGUCGCCCGCUCGCAUGGACAAGCCCAGUAAAUCAAGCCCCGGAAAGUUUUUGAUUUGGGACCUCUGUGCGCGUGAGAAAAACUGACAGCGAUUCAUAGAAGCGAACACCGCUCCCUUCCGAACCCCACUUUAUUGCCUUGCCUGUAAGCAUCCAUACGGAUGGGCAGGCCCCCCGAACAACUGUUAACAAUGGAUAUCUUGGUUCUC
This 301-nucleotide unclassified non-coding RNA is filed under the name fungal sp. Its description in RNAcentral is "partial internal transcribed spacer region". The stretch from base 1 to 46 matches the Rfam family "Eukaryotic small subunit ribosomal RNA", at positions 1786 to 1831 of the family's 1831-position model. The record is from RNAcentral. Lineage: Eukaryota; Fungi.